Molecule: long non-coding RNA, 4314 nt
Organism: Numida meleagris (helmeted guineafowl)
Lineage: Eukaryota; Metazoa; Chordata; Aves; Galliformes; Numididae
Exons: 4
Source: RefSeq, a predicted model, not a curated record
CCUCUGCCCUGAGGGAGGGAGACAGACAAAGAGGAGUGACAGAGGAAAGAAAGAAAUUGUUAUGAGAAAAUAUGAGACAGAUGGGCAAAUCCUUGGCUUAGUUAGCAGAAGAGAAACUUUUUAAUUUGGGCUGUUUUCUCAGUGGUCCAAAGACUCUACCACCUCACUGGAGCUGAAAGACUCAUCUGUUUGUGAAGUCCAGGCUUCCCUGCAGAGUACUUGCCAUAGAGUUAUAUCACCACUCGUUUGGUAUCGUGGUUGUUUGCUUAACAGGGGUCAUGCUAAAAGCUGUGGCAAGUCAAGACAAGAGGAGUUUCACCAGCCAUUUGGAACUGCCUGAAACAUCUGCACCUUUACUCCUGCCCUGCUGGGAACUGCGUCCCUGCCACUAUUGCAUAAGAAGAUGUAAAACUUCCUGCCUUUCCAGAUCAAAGCUUUGAAAGAAAUGCCUGGGUCUCUCUGCAUGGACUUACAGAGAUGGGCUCACAGUCUCUUCAUGCAGCAUAAUGCUUCCUACCCAAACUAACCCUUCUCUGAGACCUGCAAUGCUGACAUCAAUGACUAGAAAUAGUCAUAAUCAGAAGAGUGGGUCCGUGACUCAGAUUUUUUACUCAUUAGUUGAUGAUCUUCUUGCCAACUUUUGGGAACCUUAUGAGCUUUCUCUCUCACUCAUGCAGCCCACUUGGGUAAAAAAAGAAGGCUUUAAUAGGGUGUUUUGCAUUAAAAUGGAGAUAAACAGUAUGUUUGAUGGAAGCAGAACACUGCAGAGUAAGGCAUAUCUUCAACUGAUGUAAAUUUGUCACAUCUCUAUAAAGAUAAUGAAACUAGCACUAAUUUAAAUUAGCUAAGAUAUGUAUGUCAUACAAACUCCUCUACAGAUCUUCAUGGAGCUAAGCAGAGACACUGGUGACAACAUGCAGUCCUGACAGCUUCCAUCCAGCACAUGCUUCGGGUAGGUCAGAAACAUUCUGGAUCGUGCUUCCACUAACGAUCGCUGACAGAUAAAAAUUAGUUGUAAGUAAAAGGCUGAAUUUUGUUAGUUUCUCCUGCUCUGGCUUUUAGUCCUCUUUGACAAAGAUGCUCUACAUUUUGCUUUCUCGUUUAUUCCUGACUGCUUGGAAUUUCUCGCAUGCAAUUAAGACUCAUGUGUUUACUUCCAAUCUGGCUGGGAUCCACUACACCCUCUCUGCCAUUCACCUCUUCCCCAUCUCCUCCUACCUCUUGAUUGUUAGGUGUUGGGGAAGGUUUUUCUUGGCUUUUCUGCCUCUUUUAACACUUAAUCUUCCCGUCUCGGUUAGUUCUUCCACUUAAAUCAACUUUUCCUGUAGGAACACUUGCUAAGGAGGAGUAAGCUCAUAUUUAUAUUAUGGAUAUUUAUACAUGAAUAUAUUUCUAGCUGAUAUCACUCUACCAUUUAAAGUGGCAAAAUAAGUAAUUUAAAUUUCCAGUAAAAGGGUUGAAGCCUGUUGUUUCAUCCUGUAAACACAGGAAGCCAUCAGCCUUCAGGAGCCCAAGAGAAGAGCCUGAAGCACUGUGGAUUCACUGCUUGGGACACAAGCAUUCAAGUCCAGCUUCAAUACCAACUGAAGUGCUAAAAUCCUUUUCCAAAAGUGACAAUAAACAAAGAGAAUUGUGUUUGCCCCUCCUACUUCCCUUCAUUGGAAAGUCCGUACUGGUUUCAUGUGUUGUGCCAUUAGUUUGUGUUUGUGUGAAUGGCACUGUAAACAACAGCCCAACAGCCAGGACAGUGGGAACACCCAGAGCCCUGUGACGAUCAAGCUCUGGGACAGCACAAAGAAGCCAAUGAAAAAUUUAGCAGAAACAAAGCAUUUCUAUUCCAUUCAGAAAAAUUAAUGUUAUCCAUCCCAAACCUAAAUUCCUUUAAGAACUUGUUUUUUAAAAUGAACAUUUUCUGUAGAUUUGUGUGUAAAUACAUGAGAUUUAUGAACUGAUUUUUCUUUCAGAAUUCAGUGUGAAAAGAUUCCUGUAGCUGCAGGUACAUUUUCUGCCUCUGAGUCAGAGUAUCCACUGAGAUGUAAUAUUCGUUUCAUUAGACUCAUCAGCGAUAAUUCUGUUCAGCUCCAUUAAAUGAAAACAGUAAAUUAACAUGUGCACUAGUUCUCCCUCACUAACUAAUUGAUAUAUGAUGAAAGUUCCCAUGUUACCAGCUGCUACAUCUUCAAGGACAGUAACUAGAAAUAGUGGGUUAAGGGUUUUUUAAAAUGCAUACUUUCAUUAGUGGUGGUAGCCAGUAUAUGCUAUUUAAGAAAGAAAAGCAAAAAACCACCACAAUUGGUACAGCACAAUGACAAAAUCCUGCCUAUCUUUCUACCCUGGGAGUUUGAGCAGCUAUUGUUCAUAUGCAGGAAUAGUCUUUGAAUAUGUAUUUCAGCAGCAUUAUGUACUUUAGCAUAAGGAUUGUUGUUCUGAAGUCUGCCCUCAUAGUCAGAUUUUUCAGUGGACUUUUAACUUUUGUUUGUGUGCUUGCAUCUAAUUGAAGAAGCGCUUGCAAGGCUGUCUUUGCUGAUUGCUAGGCAGAAAAGAUCUGAAUUACUAUUUGUUUUCCAGGAAGUUAGAGCAAGAUUCUCAUCUGAUGUUAACUGGUUUCUCUCUUUAAAACUGAGUGGAAGUGUGCUGAUUUGCAUCAAAGGGUGGAAAGAAAUUAGUAGAGAAAGCACUGAAGGACAUUUCUGUCCAUGACAAACAUGCCUAAGUGGUCUAGAAGCCCAGGAGGCUUCAACAGCCUGCAGCCAAGCACCUGUUUCAAAAGGCAACUUUGAAUGACCAGUAAGGGGAAUAAAUGAAAAAUUAUAUGCUUCAUCAUCCAUGGCUUGUGGGUGGCUUCAAUCUUCCUGAAAAACCAGGUACUGAAUUCUGUAGUUAUAUAUGCCCAUAACACCAUCAGAAGGAAGAAUCACAGAGAUCAGAAGGAAAGAUGUAAAAGGAGCAGAAAAUAAUCCACAUGGAGAAGACUCUAAAUAUGAGCUUGUACCUCUCCCAAGCCACCAUAUCUUAAAAAGGGGAAGGGAUUUCUACAGUGACUUUGUAGCUAAACUGACCUGUUCAAAUUGCAAUGUGCCUCUGACGAUGUCUUGCAACACAUGAGGCACCAACACCACACAAACUAUACAAGGCACCAAGUGGCUUAAAAGUCACAUUUCCCAUGGCUAGUAGGUCUGAAGCUGUGAGAUGCUGUCAAUCUAUAAGCGAAAAAAAAGCUGGGAGUCAGAAGUUUCUGAGUUCACAUCUUCCAGGAAACACGCUACUUUUUUCAAGACAAACACAUUCCUGGUUUUGUCCUGCUGCCCACUGGGGCUGCUGAAAUGUGUGCAGUGCCAAACCAUAUGGGCCUCACAGGUAGGGCUUUUCUUGACAGAAAAACACAGAAGUACUUGGCGAGGUAACCUGAAGGCUACCACUCUCACUGCAUUUCUUUAAAUCGGACAGCACUGCAGUAGCGCUGUCCACUGACUCAGAGGAGCUUUAUACCAUGGUAGAUAGAUUCCACUGAACCAUAAGAGAACUUAAUGCGUUCAAAGUUUUUGUGUUAUUAAUCCAAAACUGAUUCCUUCCAAUUAGUUUUUAAGAAGUAUCUUAGCGUUGUUAUGCUCCAUAUGGACAAGGCAAAUAUCCUGUCCUGCAGGCAGAUGGACCAGAUGAAGGAAGAAUUAUAAAGGCAAAUAGAAUUAUUUAAAAUUAGGAUUGCUGGUGGUUUUUGGUUCUUGUUUUUUUCCAGUCACUGAAGUGUCUUUCUCUUAUGUGAUAUCUCUUAUCUUAAGGCAGUAGUGUCCUAUUGUGUUUCUUAGUUCUUCCUUAUAUAUUUUUGACUAAAUGUUUUAUAUUUUGGAACUAAAUGUGAGAGGACUGUAUAAAAAAAACUAUCAAAAUAUCUUUUAACUACUGAUAUAUAUUUAAAAUCUUUUUCUGAAAUGUAUAAUAUACCCCUUUCCUUCUGAGGUAGAAGGUGGGCUGGUACAGUCUCUGCCCCUGCUCUCCACAUAUACACAAUUUUUAUCUUUAUUUUGAAUCAUUCCAGAAUAAUUUUAUACUGUGGAGAACUAAUAUUGAUUCUGCUUGAAGUUGUAAACUUUUUGAGCACUACAUCAUGUUUAUCUGUAUCAUAUAUACUUAUUGAGCCAUAAGUUAGUUAUCUGAGUGAUAUUUCCUACAGCUGAAAUAUAGAAGGUCUAUUUGUGAAGUCUAAUGAAAAUGGCAAAGUGCAGAACUGCUUCGGAUCUGAUGUUGGCUUCCCUUCACAAACUUCAUUUUGAGUUACCACUGAGAAAAAAAGGCACAGCAAUGAUAUUGUAAAAG